UACGGGGGGAGCAAGCGUUGUUCGGAUUUACUGGGCGUAAAGGGCGCGUAGGCGGCCACCGCAAGUCAAUUGUGAAAUCUCCGGGCUUAACUCGGAAAGGUCAACUGAUACUGCGGGGCUAGAGUGCGGAAGGGGCAACUGGAAUUCUCGGUGUAGCGGUGAAAUGCGUAGAUAUCGCUUGGAACGCCGACGGUGAAAACAGGUUGCUGGGAAUGUGCCGACGCUGAGACACGAAAGCCAGGGGAGCAAACGGG
RNAcentral lists this ribosomal RNA (254 nucleotides) under uncultured bacterium. RNAcentral describes it as "partial 16S ribosomal RNA". It matches the Rfam family "Bacterial small subunit ribosomal RNA", at positions 524 to 776 of the family's 1533-position model. The record is from RNAcentral.